This 403-nucleotide ribosomal RNA is filed under the name uncultured organism. RNAcentral describes it as "bacterial SSU rRNA". It matches the Rfam family "Bacterial small subunit ribosomal RNA", at positions 45 to 433 of the family's 1533-position model. The record is from RNAcentral.
UGCCUAACACAUGCAAGUCGAGCGAGAAAGUCCCGGCAACGGGAUGAGUAAAGCGGCAAACGGGUGAGUAACGCGUAGGUAAUCUGUCCUUCGGAUCGGGAUAACCUGCCGAAAGGUGGGCUAAUACCGGGUAAUGUUCCUCUGGAGAUCCAGUGGAACCAAAGGGGGCGAGCGUAAGCAGCUCUCACCGAAGGAGGAGCCUGCGUCCGAUUAGCUAGUUGGUGGGGUAAUGGCCUACCAAGGCGACGAUCGGUAGCCGGCCUGAGAGGGCGACCGGCCACACUGGAAAUGAGACACGGUCCAGACUCCUACGGGAGGCAGCAGUGGGGAAUAUUGCGCAAUGGGCGAAAGCCUGACGCAGCGACGCCGCGUGGGUGAUGAAGGCCUUCGGGUCGUAAAGCCC